CCUACGGGUGGCAGCAGUGGGGAAUAUUGCACAAUGGGGGAAACCCUGAUGCAGCGACGCCGCGUGAGUGAAGAAGUAUUUCGGUAUGUAAAGCUCUAUCAGCAGGGAAGAAGAAAGACGGUACCUGACUAAGAAGCCCCGGCUAACUACGUGCCAGCAGCCGCGGUAAUACGUAGGGGGCAAGCGUUAUCCGGAUUUACUGGGUGUAAAGGGAGCGUAGACGGCGGAGAAAGUCUGAAGUGAAAGCCCGGGGCUCAACCGUGGGAUUGCUUUGGAAACUUUUUAGCUAGAGUACUGGAGAGGUAAGUGGAAUUCCUAGUGUAGCGGUGAAAUGCGUAGAUAUUAGGAGGAACACCAGUGGCGAAGGCGGCUUACUGGACGGUAACUGACGUUGAGGCUCGAAAGCGUGGGGAGCAAACAGGAUUAGAUACCCUAGUAGUC
RNAcentral lists this ribosomal RNA (441 nucleotides) under uncultured bacterium. RNAcentral describes it as "partial 16S ribosomal RNA". It matches the Rfam family "Bacterial small subunit ribosomal RNA", at positions 338 to 795 of the family's 1533-position model. The record is from RNAcentral.